RNAcentral lists this ribosomal RNA (405 nucleotides) under uncultured bacterium. RNAcentral describes it as "partial 16S ribosomal RNA". It matches the Rfam family "Bacterial small subunit ribosomal RNA", at positions 28 to 526 of the family's 1533-position model. The record is from RNAcentral.
GACGAACGCUGGCGGCGUGCUUAACACAUGCAAGUCGAGCGGAGCGGCGGACGGGUGAGUAACGCGUGAGUACCUGCCCCCCUCUCUGGGAUAACAGUUGGAAACGGCUGCUACUACCGGAUAGUGUGGGAUGACUCGCGUUCUAUCAGCUUGUUGGUGGGGUAGUGGCCUACCAAGGAGACGACGGGUAGCCGGCCUGAGAGGGCGACCGGCCACAUUGGGCUGAGAUACGGCCCAAACUCCUACGGUAGGCAGCAGUGGGGAAUAGUGCACAAUGGGGGAAACCCUGAUACAGCAACGCCGCGUGCGGAAUGACGGCCUUCGGGUUGUAAGCCGCUUUCAGCCAGGACGCGGUAGUGGCAGAAGAAGCACCGGCUAACUACGUGCCAGCAGCCGCGGUAAUUC